UACGGAGGGGGCUAGCGUUGUUCGGAAUCAUUGGGCGUAAAGGGCGCGUAGGCGGCCGAUCAAGUCGGAGGUGAAAUCCCUCGGCUCAACUGAGGAAUUGCCUUCGAUACUGUUCGCCUUGAGUCCUGGAGAGGGUAGCGGAAUUCCCGGUGUAGCGGUGAAAUGCGUAGAGACCGGGAAGAACACCAGUGGCGAAGGCGGCUACCUGGACAAUUACUGACGCUCAGGCACGAAAGCAUGGGGAGCAAAAGGG
RNAcentral lists this ribosomal RNA (253 nucleotides) under uncultured prokaryote. RNAcentral describes it as "partial 16S ribosomal RNA". It matches the Rfam family "Bacterial small subunit ribosomal RNA", at positions 524 to 776 of the family's 1533-position model. The record is from RNAcentral.